AGUGAACGCUGGCGGUAGGCCUAACACAUGCAAGUCGAACGGCAGCACAGUAAGAGCUUGCUCUUACGGGUGGCGGGUGGCGGACGGGUGAGGAAUACAUCGGAAUCUACUUUUUCGUGGGGGAUAACGUAGGGAAACUUACGCUAAUACCGCAUACGACCUACGGGUGAAAGCAGGGGAUCUUCGGACCUUGCGCGAUUGAAUGAGCCGAUGUCGGAUUAGCUAGUUGGCGGGGUAAAGGCCCACCAAGGCGACGAUCCGUAGCUGGUCUGAGAGGAUGAUCAGCCACACUGGAACUGAGACACGGUCCAGACUCCUACGGGAGGCAGCAGUGGGGAAUAUUGGACAAUGGGCGCAAGCCUGAUCCAGCCAUACUGCGUGGGUGAAGAAGGCCUUCGGGUUGUAAAGCCCUUUUGUUGGGAAAGAAAAGCAGCAGGUUAAUACCCCGCUGUUCUGACGGUACCCAAAGAAUAAGCACCGGCUAACUUCGUG
RNAcentral lists this ribosomal RNA (492 nucleotides) under uncultured bacterium. RNAcentral describes it as "partial 16S ribosomal RNA". It matches the Rfam family "Bacterial small subunit ribosomal RNA", at positions 29 to 507 of the family's 1533-position model. The record is from RNAcentral.